This 492-nucleotide ribosomal RNA is filed under the name uncultured bacterium. RNAcentral describes it as "bacterial SSU rRNA". It matches the Rfam family "Bacterial small subunit ribosomal RNA", at positions 28 to 507 of the family's 1533-position model. The record is from RNAcentral.
GAUGAACGCUAGCGGCAGGCUUAACACAUGCAAGUCGAGGGGCAGCAUGACGGAACCUUCGGGUUUUGUUGAUGGCGACCGGCGCAAGGGUGCGUAACGCGUGAGCAACUUGCCCGUUUCAGGGGGAUAACCGGUGGAAACGCCGACUAAUACCCCAUAGUAUUGAGUUUAGGCAUCUUUACUCAAUUAAAGAAAUUCGGAAACGGAUAGGCUCGCGUGACAUUAGCUAGAUGGCGGGGUAACGGCCCACCAUGGCGACGAUGUCUAGGGGUUCUGAGAGGAAGGUCCCCCACACUGGAACUGAGACACGGUCCAGACUCCUACGGGAGGCAGCAGUGAGGAAUAUUGGUCAAUGGUCUGACGACUGAACCAGCCAUGCCGCGUGAAGGUCACGGGCCCCUAUGGGUCUUAAACUUCUUUUGUUAGGGAGCAAUAAGUCUCACGUGUGGGAUGAUGAGAGUACCUAACGAAUAAGCAUCGGCUAACUCCGUG